This 253-nucleotide ribosomal RNA is filed under the name uncultured Eubacteriales bacterium. RNAcentral's name for it is "uncultured Clostridiales bacterium partial 16S ribosomal RNA". It matches the Rfam family "Bacterial small subunit ribosomal RNA", at positions 524 to 776 of the family's 1533-position model. The record is from RNAcentral. Lineage: Bacteria; Bacillati; Bacillota; Clostridia; Eubacteriales.
UACGUAGGGGGCAAGCGUUAUCCGGAUUUACUGGGUGUAAAGGGAGCGUAGACGGUACGCCAAGUCUGAAGUGAAAUGCCGCAGCUUAACUGCGGAACUGCUUUGGAAACUGGCGGGCUAGAGUGCGGGAGGGGUAAGCGGAAUUCCUAGUGUAGCGGUGAAAUGCGUAGAUAUAUGGAAGAACACCAGUGGCGAAAGCGGCUCUCUGGUCUGUAACUGACGCUGAGGUUCGAAAGCGUGGGUAGCAAACAGG